GAUGAACGCUAGCUACAGGCUUAACACAUGCAAGUCGAGGGGCAGCAUGACCUAGCAAUAGGUUGAUGGCGACCGGCGCACGGGUGAGUAACACGUAUCCAACCUGCCGAUUAUUCCGGGAUAGCCUUUCGAAAGAAAGAUUAAUACUGGAUAGCAUAACGAGAAGGCAUCUUCUUGUUAUUAAAGAAUUUCGAUAAUCGAUGGGGAUGCGUUCCAUUAGUUUGUUGGCGGGGUAACGGCCCACCAAGACAUCGAUGGAUAGGGGUUCUGAGAGGAAGGUCCCCCAUAUUGGAACUGAGACACGGUCCAAACUCCUACGGGAGGCAGCAGUGAGGAAUAUUGGUCAAUGGACGAGAGUCUGAACCAGCCAAGUAGCGUGAAGGAUGACUGCCCUAUGGGUUGUAAACUUCUUUUAUAUGGGAAUAAAGUGGGCCACGUGUGGCUUUUUGUAUGUACCAUACGAAUAAGGAUCGGCUAACUCCGUG
This 485-nucleotide ribosomal RNA is filed under the name uncultured bacterium. RNAcentral describes it as "partial 16S ribosomal RNA". It matches the Rfam family "Bacterial small subunit ribosomal RNA", at positions 28 to 507 of the family's 1533-position model. The record is from RNAcentral.